This 492-nucleotide ribosomal RNA is filed under the name uncultured bacterium. RNAcentral describes it as "partial 16S ribosomal RNA". It matches the Rfam family "Bacterial small subunit ribosomal RNA", at positions 29 to 507 of the family's 1533-position model. The record is from RNAcentral.
AGUGAACGCUGGCGGUAGGCCUAACACAUGCAGGUCGAACGGCAGCACAGUAAGAGCUUGCUCUUACGGGUGGCGAGUGGCGGACGGGUGAGGAAUACAUCGGAAUCUACUUUUUCGUGGGGGAUAACGUAGGGAAACUUACGCUAAUACCGCAUACGACCUACGGUUGAAAGCAGGGGAUCUUCGGACCUUGCGCGAAUGAAUGAGCCGAUGUCGGAUUAGCUAGUUGGGGGGGUAAACGCCCACCAAGGCGACGAUCCGUAGCUGGUCUGAGAGGAUGAUCAGCCACACUGGAACUGAGACACGGUCCAGACUCCUACGGGAGGCAGCAGUGGGGAAUAUUGGACAAUGGGCGCAAGCCUGAUCCAGCCAUACCGCGUGGGUGAAGAAGGCCUUCGGGUUGUAAAGCCCUUUUGUUGGGAAAGAAAAGCAGCAGGUUAAUACCCCGCUGUUCUGACGGUACCCAAAGAAUAAGCACCGGCUAACUUCGUG